Long non-coding RNA from Parus major (Great Tit), 1660 nucleotides. Lineage: Eukaryota; Metazoa; Chordata; Aves; Passeriformes; Paridae. The record is from Ensembl.
AGUGUCCAUUUUAUUAUUUUUUUUUGCACAGGGAGGCAGCACAUUUCCUAGUUUAUUUAUUUAUUUAAUCUAGGGAAAAAUCGCUUUUCCUUUGUCUCCCACAGAACAAAGAAACGUGAACACAGGAUUUAAACAGCGAGGGCUGUGCUGGGCUGAGCCCAUCCCCAGGGUGAAGGCUCUGCUUUUAAUGGUGUUACACGCAGCAGAAAUAAAUUUGGCUGGGAGUCUGUAAUCACUGCCUGAAUUAAUGGAAAAUAAAGGGGGUUCUUUGGAGCAGGCUGAAUAGCCCAGCUGCAGCAAUCAUCUCGUCACUCAUCAGAAUGAUGGUGGAAUUAGUUCCAGAUAUAAAACUGGGCAGCAGAGGCGAGACACCCACGGGGGUUUAAUUCCCAGUUAAGGACACUGGAGGUUUCCUUUCCACCCAUGCUGGUGCCACACACUCAUGGCUCACCAGGGGUUCAAGAGGGACAGGAAUAUGGACAUCAGUUUGUGCAAUUUCAUUCUUUUUUUUUCAGGGAUUUGACAAAGUUUUGUCCCAAAUCACCUCCCUGUUCCUGUUCCUGCCUUUAGAAGUUCCCAGUGUGGCUGAGCCUUGUUGUGGUCGUAGCUGGGGAUGCAGGGAGCAGCACCCUCACAUCUACAGAGACUUACACAGGAAGGACAUUUUUUGGAGUUAUUGUAACAGCCUUGGUUGACUCACUACACUUUCCCAUUGAAGAAGGUUGAGAAGAAAAGCCUGUGAUUUAUUUAAAAAGGGCUUUUUUCCCCUCUCUCAGAAGCACAAUGAGCUUUUUCUUGGAUGAAAGCCAUGAUUGCAGUUUGGCUCGUGUGCCCUGCAUCCCCCUGUGAGCAGGUCCCAGGCAUCACUUUGUGCAUCGCUGGCAGGCGGCGAGCGGAGCCGCAUCCGUAACCCAGCUGCUGCCACCGGGUGUCACACAGGACCCCCAGAAAGGACCACAAUGCCCCCUCCCCGAGGAAAGCUGGCAAGUGUGAACCUCAGCGGUGGGAAAACCCCUCGGGAAGAGGCUGCCCAGCUGGCUGAGUGUUCUCCGGGAACAGAAAAGCAGGUGCCUCCAUCCCACUGACAGAUUUCAGGAGGUGGGUCCUGUCUUUGGGGUGAAAUACAAAGAGACACCACUUCCAGAAAGCUUUCCCAGCCUUUUCCCAGCUGGCAGAGCUCUGGGAAGCUCUCUGUGCCUGUGCAGAGAAUAUUUUAAUCUCUGCUGCUGUUAUUAGUAUUAUCACUGCUAAUGGUAAUCGAUAAAUUAAGGGCUAUGGGAUUCCCCACUGAGAUAUUGCUCAGCUGAGCCUUAGCACUUUGCAAACACCCGCUGGGAAAGCCAUUCCUGCUGAAAUCGCUCUGGAGCCGGCUGGGAUUGCCCUGGGGGAGAUAGAGAGUUCUAAAUCACCGUCUUGUAGAGGCUGGUGCUGGUUUAGUGCAAAGCAUAAAGAGCCCACAAAGGCUUUUGUGCUGCGGGUUGGAGUGACACAAUUCCUGCCCAUGCCCAAGGGAUGAGAAAUCAGGGAUGCUGUCUUUAUAAAACCAGGAUUUUUUUUCUUGUGAAAGCCCAAGAUCUUUGAAUUUGGCCCAUAUGCGACAACAUGGUGAGGUUGGCAAAGGUGAAAUAAAAAAAGGUGAAUAAAAUAAAGGUGAAUAAAA